GACGAACGCUGGCGGCGUGCUUAACACAUGCAAGUCGAACGGAAAGGCCCUGCUUUUGUGGGGUGCUCGAGUGGCGAACGGGUGAGUAACACGUGAGUAACCUGCCCUUGACUUUGGGAUAACUUCAGGAAACUGGGGCUAAUACCGGAUAGGAGCUCCUGCUGCAUGGUGGGGGUUGGAAAGUUUCGGCGGUUGGGGAUGGACUCGCGGCUUAUCAGCUUGUUGGUGGGGUAGUGGCUUACCAAGGCUUUGACGGGUAGCCGGCCUGAGAAGGUGACCGGGCAGAAGGGGGUGAAGGUACAGCAGAGGCGGAGACGGGAGGCAGCAGUGGGGAGUAGGGAAGAACGGGCGGAAGUGGGAGGCAGGAACGUGGGGGGGGGGAGGAGGGCCUGGGGGGAGUAAACAGAAGGCGCCGGUGACGAAGCGGGAGAGACGGUGAGGGGGAAAGAAGCACCGGCGAACUACGUG
RNAcentral lists this ribosomal RNA (468 nucleotides) under uncultured bacterium. RNAcentral's name for it is "partial 16S ribosomal RNA". The stretch from base 20 to 332 matches the Rfam family "Bacterial small subunit ribosomal RNA", at positions 47 to 358 of the family's 1533-position model. The record is from RNAcentral.